Molecule: long non-coding RNA, 273 nt
Filed under: Bos taurus (domestic cattle)
Lineage: Eukaryota; Metazoa; Chordata; Mammalia; Artiodactyla; Bovidae
Description: long non-coding RNA NONBTAT020520
Source: RNAcentral
UUCCAGAAUUCCCCACUGUUGAUUAUUCCAACGCAAACUCCCUGCUUAGACCCAUCAAUGUUUCCCUAGCACUCUGAGAGCAUAAAGUUCUAGUCCCUUGAUCCUGCUUUGCCUCUCUCUAAUUCAUUGCUCAUUCUCUGCUGUAGCAUUUUCAUCACACUUGCCCAUGGGUUUCACACAGACGUUCCUUUGCUCACACUAUGCUUAGGCCUGUCCUGAGCGUCAUAACCCCUCACCCAGUUCUUUCUUCAGGAAGCCCUCAUGAACACACAC